Dromaius novaehollandiae (emu) is the source of this 641-nucleotide long non-coding RNA. RefSeq lists it as uncharacterized. The record is from RefSeq and is a predicted model, not a curated record. Lineage: Eukaryota; Metazoa; Chordata; Aves; Casuariiformes; Dromaiidae. The transcript is spliced from 4 exons.
CCCUGGCCCUCCUGCAGCUGGGAGACUCUCAACCUGCGUGCGUGUCCCCAUUCCCCUUCCCGUCACUGCAGUUCACUUCUGCAGAAGAGUGUGGCAACCUGUAAUGAAAACUUGUCUGUGUUUGCUUACAGGUGUUCCUGUAGGCAGUGGCCUCCCAGCUUCUCAUCUGGAUGCCAUUGUUGUGCCUCAGGGGCAUGCCAGGGAGCUUCCAAGCGUGUCACAGCCUGGAGAAGCCCCCCACGGCAGGAAAUACUCCUUUUUUCCAGUGCACCGAGGUCUUGGUGGUGGCAAAGAUGCCGAGGCUGCAGCUCCUAAAGGCCGACAAAAGCAGCGUUUGGUCCUGAGCGUUGCAGUCUCAGGUUCCGCACUGUUUGUCGUAGUGCUGACAUGUAUAGUCGCUUUCUGGCUGAGGAAGAGAAAACAAGAAGCGGUACCAGCUAAUCCUGCCGCUACCUCCAGCAGACAAGAGCCCAGUAUGGAGGAAGGCAGAGCACAGCCAGGAAGCGAAAGAAAAAAGGAUGAGUUUACUCUAGAAAAUGAAAAUCUGAACAACAACUCCAGUCGACUUCCGGGGCCUAUCCCAAACAGAAUAAAAUACAUAUUCAUAAUCCAAAGAGAAUAAAAAACCUGUUGGGCUAAAA